This 90-nucleotide transfer RNA is filed under the name archaeon RBG_16_50_20. RNAcentral describes it as "tRNA-Ser". It matches the Rfam family "tRNA". From Rfam's summary of the family: Transfer RNA (tRNA) molecules are approximately 80 nucleotides in length. Their secondary structure includes four short double-helical elements and three loops (D, anti-codon, and T loops). Further hydrogen bonds mediate the characteristic L-shaped molecular structure. tRNAs have two regions of fundamental functional importance: the anti-codon, which is responsible for specific mRNA codon recognition, and the 3' end, to which the tRNAs corresponding amino acid is attached (by aminoacyl-tRNA synthetases). tRNAs cope with the degeneracy of the genetic code in two manners: having more than one tRNA (with a specific anti-codon) for a particular amino acid; and 'wobble' base-pairing, i.e. permitting non-standard base-pairing at the 3rd anti-codon position. The record is from RNAcentral.
GCGGGGAUACCCGAGUCAGGUCAAAGGGGCAGGACCGCUAAGCCAUGAGCGCGCAAGCCUUCAGGGGUUCGAAUCCCCUUCCCCGCACCA